Molecule: ribosomal RNA, 319 nt
Filed under: Boletus sp.
Lineage: Eukaryota; Fungi; Basidiomycota; Agaricomycetes; Boletales; Boletaceae
Description: partial large subunit ribosomal RNA
Rfam family: Eukaryotic large subunit ribosomal RNA
Source: RNAcentral
UUGACCUCAAAUCAGGUAGGACUACCCGCUGAACUUAAGCAUAUCAAUAAGCGGAGGAAAAGAAACUAACAAGGAUUCCCCUAGUAACUGCGAGUGAAGCGGGAAAAGCUCAAAUUUUGAAUCUGGUGGUCCUCGCAGGCCAUCCGAGUUGUAAUCUAGAGAAGCGUCUUCCGCACCGGCCCGUGUACAAGUCUCCUGGAAGGGAGCGUCAUAGAGGGUGAGAAUCCCGUCUCUGACACGGACCACCGGGGCUAUGUGAUGCGCUCUCGACGAGUCGAGUUGUUUGGGAAUGCAGCUCAAAAAGGGUGGUAAACUCCAU